AAUGAACGCUGGCGGCAUGCCUAACACAUGCAAGUCGAACGAAGGCUUCGGCCUUAGUGGCGCACGGGUGCGUAACGCGUGGGAAUCUGCCUUUCGGUUCGGAAUAACUCGGGGAAACCCGUGCUAAUACCGGAUGAUGUCGCAAGACCAAAGAUUUAUCGCCGAAAGAUGAGCCCGCGUGAGAUUAGCUAGUUGGUGGG
Molecule: ribosomal RNA, 200 nt
Filed under: uncultured bacterium
Lineage: Bacteria
Description: partial 16S ribosomal RNA
Rfam family: Bacterial small subunit ribosomal RNA
Source: RNAcentral